CCUCGGUUCGCCGUGGUGGCGUGGUAGAAGAGCGUGAACGGUGCAGUGAAGCAGAACCGAAAGGGGACGUGGAGCGCCGUUCAGUGAGAAUGCAGACACGAGUAGCGAUAAACCAGAUGAGAAUUCUGGUCGCCGUAAACCCAAGGUUUCCUGGGCCAGGUUCGUCCUCCCAGGGUCAGUCGGGAGCUAAGAUGAGGUCGUAAGACGUAAUCGAUGCACAGCCGGUCAACAUUCCGGCACCGACGUGGUUUAAACCGUUGAUGACGCAAGGAGAAAAAUGGCGGAAUCAUUGAAGAUUCGGCUUAGGAGCAAUCCGAAGCAUGCCAUCGGACUACUUGUCGAGAAAAGUCAGCGGCCCUUUGCCACGUUGCCCGUACCGCAAACCGACACAGGUGGGUGGGUGUAAGUGCACCAAGGCGCGCGAGAGAGACCUCUCUAAGGAACUCGGCACAUUAGCCCCGUAACUUCGGGAAAAGGGGUGCUCGCUUCGGCGAGCCACAGUAAAUUGCGUUUAGCGACUGUUUAACAAAAACACAGCACUCUGCCACGUCGUUAAGACAACGUAUAGGGUGUGACAAGUGACCAAUGCGGAAAGAUCAAGGCAAGGGGUUAGCCGUAAGGCGAAGCUCUGAACCUAAGUCCCCGUGAAUGUCGGCCGUAAUUAUAACGGUCCUAAGGUAGUGAAAUUUUUUGUCGGGUAAGUUCCGACCUGCACGAAUCUUGUAACGACUGAACGACUGUCUCGGAGAGGUUCUCGGCGAAACUGUAACGGCGGUGAAGAUGCCGCCUGCCCGCAGUAGGACGGAAAGACCCUAUGCACCUUUACUGUAAGCUCGUAUUGGCUUCUGGUUGAUGAUGCUUAGCGUAGGUGGGAGACUUUGAAGGCAUGGCUUCGGUUGUGCUGGAGUCGAAAUGUGAAACACCACUCUUUGUCAACUAGGAGUCUAACCUCGAUCCCGUUAGCCGGGCGAGGGACAGUGCGUGCGGGUCAGUUUGGCUGGGGCGGCUUCCUCCCAAAUGGUAACGGAGGAGCGCGAAGCUGGGCUCAGCAUGGUUGGCAACCAUGCGUCGAGCGUAUGGGUAGAAGCCCGGUUAACUGCGAGACCAACAAGUCAAGCAGAUGCGAAAGCAGGCCCAAAUGAUCCGAUGGUUGAAUGUGGAAUUGCCAUCGCUCAACGGACAAAAGGUACGCUAGGGAUAACAGGCUGAUCGGGACCAAGAGUUCACAUCGACGUCCCGGUUUGGCACCUCGAUGUCGGCUCAUCGCAUCCUGGGGCUGGAGAAGGUCCCAAGGGUCCGGCUUUCGCCGGUUAAAGCGGUACGCGAGCUGGGUUCAGAACGUCGUGAGACAGUUCGGUCCUUAUCCACUGUGGGCGGAGGAAACUUGAGGGGUUCAUUCCUUAGUACGAGAGGACCGGGAAUGACGCACUUCUGGUGUGGCAGUUGUCGUGUCAACGGCAGCGCUGCGUAGCCACGUGCGGAAGGGAUAAGCGCUGAAAGCAUCUAAGUGCCAAGCCCAUCCCAAGAUAUGGUUUCCCGGACGCAAGUCCCUGAAGACACCAAGCAGACUACUUGGUUGAUAGGCUGGGCGUGCAAGCUCCGUGAGGAGUUUAGCGGACCAGUACUAAUCAGUCGUGAGGCUUGAUUGC
RNAcentral lists this ribosomal RNA (1649 nucleotides) under metagenome. RNAcentral's name for it is "bacterial LSU rRNA". It matches the Rfam family "Bacterial large subunit ribosomal RNA", at positions 1199 to 2925 of the family's 2925-position model. The record is from RNAcentral.